This 30-nucleotide non-coding RNA is filed under the name Mus musculus (house mouse). The record is from RNAcentral. Lineage: Eukaryota; Metazoa; Chordata; Mammalia; Rodentia; Muridae.
UGCCAUAAGGUGUUUGCUGAGUUUGUUACC